This 323-nucleotide ribosomal RNA is filed under the name uncultured eukaryote. RNAcentral's name for it is "partial 18S ribosomal RNA". It matches the Rfam family "Eukaryotic small subunit ribosomal RNA", at positions 1470 to 1796 of the family's 1831-position model. The record is from RNAcentral.
CCCCUAGACGUUCUGGGUUGCACGCGCGCUACAAUAAUACGCACAGCGAGUAUCACCGAGCUCGAAAGGGCAAGGUAAACAAUAGAAAAGGUACUGUAAUGGUUAUAGAUCCUUGUAAUUAUUGAUCUUCAACGAGGAAUUCCUAGUAAGUAUGUGUCAUCAUCACGCACUGAUUACGUCCCUGCCCUUUGUACACACCGCCCGUCGCUCCUACCGAUUGAAUGCUCAGGUGAGCCAUUCGGACUUUCAUCAUGCUGGUUUCCAGUUUUGAUGAAGGAAAGUCUUGCGAACCUUAUCAUUUAGAGGAAGGAGAAGUCGUAACA